GAAUUUAGUUACAGUACUAGUAUCUAAUGUAAUUGUCAUUUAGGAAUGCAAACUUUUAGUAAAUAGUUUCACACUUAUUUAAGCCAUGAUGGACUGCAUAAAAAUACAAUUACAUGAAAACACAUUUUGCCAACAUAUGUCAUGAAACAUAUAUUUCUGAAACUUUGUGAUCAUUGUCCUCUAAAGAAAAAGACACGUUCUGG
This 203-nucleotide long non-coding RNA is filed under the name Mytilus galloprovincialis (Mediterranean mussel). Lineage: Eukaryota; Metazoa; Mollusca; Bivalvia; Mytilida; Mytilidae. The record is from RNAcentral.